RNAcentral lists this ribosomal RNA (643 nucleotides) under Bacillus sp. (in: firmicutes). RNAcentral describes it as "bacterial SSU rRNA". It matches the Rfam family "Bacterial small subunit ribosomal RNA", at positions 36 to 662 of the family's 1533-position model. Lineage: Bacteria; Bacillati; Bacillota; Bacilli; Caryophanales; Bacillaceae. The record is from RNAcentral.
CUGGCGGCGUGCCUAAUACUGCAAGUCGAGCGGACAGAUGGGAGCUUGCUCCCUGAAGUCAGCGGCGGACGGGUGAGUAACACGUGGGCAACCUGCCUGUAAGACUGGGAUAACUUCGGGAAACCGGAGCUAAUACCGGAUAACACCGAGGACCUCAUGGUCCUUGGUUGAAAGAUGGCUUCGGCUAUCACUUACAGAUGGGCCCGCGGCGCAUUAGCUAGUUGGUGAGGUAACGGCUCACCAAGGCGACGAUGCGUAGCCGACCUGAGAGGGUGAUCGGCCACACUGGGACUGAGACACGGCCCAGACUCCUACGGGAGGCAGCAGUAGGGAAUCUUCCGCAAUGGACGAAAGUCUGACGGAGCAACGCCGCGUGAGCGAUGAAGGCCUUCGGGUCGUAAAGCUCUGUUGUUAGGGAAGAACAAGUACCGUUCGAAUAGGGCGGUACCUUGACGGUACCUAACCAGAAAGCCACGGCUAACUACGUGCCAGCAGCCGCGGUAAUACGUAGGUGGCAAGCGUUGUCCGGAAUUAUUGGGCGUAAAGCGCGCGCAGGCGGUUCCUUAAGUCUGAUGUGAAAGCCCACGGCUCAACCGUGGAGGGUCAUUGGAAACUGGGGAACUUGAGUGCAGAAGAGGAGAGC